This 600-nucleotide ribosomal RNA is filed under the name Kocuria sp. Its description in RNAcentral is "bacterial SSU rRNA". It matches the Rfam family "Bacterial small subunit ribosomal RNA", at positions 845 to 1444 of the family's 1533-position model. The record is from RNAcentral. Lineage: Bacteria; Bacillati; Actinomycetota; Actinomycetes; Micrococcales; Micrococcaceae.
GCCGUAGCUAACGCAUUAAGUGCCCCGCCUGGGGAGUACGGCCGCAAGGCUAAAACUCAAAGGAAUUGACGGGGGCCCGCACAAGCGGCGGAGCAUGCGGAUUAAUUCGAUGCAACGCGAAGAACCUUACCAAGGCUUGACAUUCACCGGACCGCCCCAGAGAUGGGGUUUCCCUUCGGGGCUGGUGGACAGGUGGUGCAUGGUUGUCGUCAGCUCGUGUCGUGAGAUGUUGGGUUAAGUCCCGCAACGAGCGCAACCCUCGUUCUAUGUUGCCAGCACGUGAUGGUGGGGACUCAUAGGAGACUGCCGGGGUCAACUCGGAGGAAGGUGGGGAUGACGUCAAAUCAUCAUGCCCCUUAUGUCUUGGGCUUCACGCAUGCUACAAUGGCCGGUACAAAGGGUUGCGAUACUGUGAGGUGGAGCUAAUCCCAAAAAGCCGGUCUCAGUUCGGAUUGAGGUCUGCAACUCGACCUCAUGAAGUCGGAGUCGCUAGUAAUCGCAGAUCAGCAACGCUGCGGUGAAUACGUUCCCGGGCCUUGUACACACCGCCCGUCAAGUCACGAAAGUUGGUAACACCCGAAGCCGGUGGCCUAACCCCUU